GGGGGUGUAGCUCAGUAGUGGAGUGUGUGCUUAGCGUGGGCAAGGUCCUGGGUUCAAUCCCCAAUACCUCUG
Molecule: transfer RNA, 72 nt
Filed under: Camelus dromedarius (Arabian camel)
Lineage: Eukaryota; Metazoa; Chordata; Mammalia; Artiodactyla; Camelidae
Also listed under: 1 other name
Rfam family: tRNA
About the family: Transfer RNA (tRNA) molecules are approximately 80 nucleotides in length. Their secondary structure includes four short double-helical elements and three loops (D, anti-codon, and T loops).
Source: Rfam by way of RNAcentral